CCCGCUGAACUUAAGCAUAUCAAUAAGCGGAGGAAAAGAAACUAACAAGGAUUCCCCUAGUAACGGCGAGUGAAGCGGGAACAGCUCAAAUUUGAAAUCUCAGAGGGCACCCUCUGCGAAUUGUAGUUUAGAGAAGCGUUUUCGGGGGCGGCCUGGGUAUAAGUCCUUUGGAACAAGGCAUCAUAGAGGGUGAGAAUCCCGUUUAUGAUCCAGUGUCUGCUUUUAUGUGAUACGCUUUCCAAGAGUCAGGUAGUUUGGGAUUGCUGCCUAAAAUGGGUGGUAAAUACCAUCUAAAGCUAAAUAUUGGCGAGAGACCGAUAGCGAACAAGUACCGUGAGGGAAAGAUGAAAAGAACUUUGAAAAGAGAGUUAAACAGUACGUGAAAUUGCCAAAAGGGAAACGCUUGAAACCAGUAUUGCGUGCAGGCAAUCAGCUGUGUGGCCCGAAAGGUUAAGCACAGUGCACUUGUCUGCACGCAGGUCAACAUCAGUUUGGCUCGGAGUAAAAAGCUGGAGGAAGGUAGCUUUGGCUUCGGUCAAAGUGUUACAGCCUCCAGUCAUGCUCUGGGCUGGACUGAGGUCUGCAGCGUUAUUUGGGUUCCCGGUCGCCUCCUGAACCUUUUCUGUAGACAGCUUGCUGACUGCAGAAAGUCUAGGGAGUCCGGUCGGCUUUCCACACCAACGCUUAGGAUGUUGACGAAAUGGUUUCAAACGACCCGUCUUGAAACACGG
RNAcentral lists this ribosomal RNA (731 nucleotides) under uncultured fungus. RNAcentral describes it as "eukaryotic LSU rRNA". It matches the Rfam family "Eukaryotic large subunit ribosomal RNA", at positions 24 to 664 of the family's 3401-position model. The record is from RNAcentral. Lineage: Eukaryota; Fungi.